AAGAACGGACUUCCGGAACAAAUUAAGUACUUAACCCGAGGUACCACUUUGCUGGUUAUGGAUGGCAUCAGAACAGUGGUACCUCUGGUUAAGUACUUAAUUCGUUCCGGAG
Podarcis lilfordi (Lilford's wall lizard) is the source of this 112-nucleotide non-coding RNA. Lineage: Eukaryota; Metazoa; Chordata; Lepidosauria; Squamata; Lacertidae. The record is from the annotation of a GenBank genome assembly.